AUCCUGGCUCAGGAUGAACGCUAGCGACAGGGCUUAACACAUGCAAGUCGAGGGGCAGCGGGGGCGUAGCAAUAUGCCUGCCGGCGACCGGCGCACGGGUGAGUAACACGUAUGUAACCUGCCCUAUGCAGGGGGAUAACCCGGAGAAAUCCGGCCUAAUACCGCGUAACACCUUAGGGGAGCAUUCUCUUGAGGUUAAAGGAGAGAUCCGGCAUAGGAUGGACAUGCGUCGCAUUAGGUAGACGGCGGGGUAACGGCCCACCGUGCCGACGAUGCGUAGGGGUUCUGAGAGGAAGGCCCCCCACACUGGUACUGAGACACGGACCAGACUCCUACGGGAGGCAGCAGUGAGGAAUAUUGGUCAAUGGCCGAGAGGCUGAACCAGCCAAGUCGCGUGAGGGAAGAAUGUCCUAAGGAUUGUAAACCUCUUUUGUCGGGGAGCAAAAAGGCUCUGCGGAGUCGUAUUGAGAGUACCCGAAGAAAAAGCAUCGGCUAACUCCGUGCCAGCAGCCGCGGUAAUACGGAGGAUGCGAGCGUUAUCCGGAUUUAUUGGGUUUAAAGGGUGCGCAGGCGGCGUGUCAAGCAAGCGGUAAAAUAGCGGGGCUCAACCCCGUCGAGCCGUUUGAACUGGCGCGCUUGAGUUCAGGCGAGGUAGGCGGAAUUCGUGGUGUAGCGGUGAAAUGCAUAGAUAUCACGAAGAACUCCGAUUGCGAAGGCAGCUUACCAGUCUGCGACUGACGCUCAGGCACGAAAGUGUGGGUAUCGAACAGGAUUAGAUACCCUGGUAGUCCACACAGUAAACGAUGAGCGCUAGGUGUCCGGGUCGCAUGAGACUUGGGUGCCCGAGCGAAAGCGUUAAGCGCUCCACCUGGGGAGUACGCCGGCAACGGUGAAACUCAAAGGAAUUGACGGGGGCCCGCACAAGCGGAGGGAACAUGUGGUUUAAUUCGAUGAUACGCGAGGAACCUUACCCGGGCUCAAACGACUCAGGAAUAUAUUGGAAACGAUGUAGCCAGCAAUGGUCUGAGUCGAGGUGCUGCAUGGUUGUCGUCAGCUCGUGCCGUGAGGUGUCGGCUUAAGUGCCAUAACGAGCGCAACCCCUACCGCCAGUUGCCAACGGGUAAAGCCGGGAACUCUGGCGGGACUGCCGGCGCAAGCUGCGAGGAAGGCGGGGAUGACGUCAAAUCAGCACGGCCCUUACGUCCGGGGCGACACACGUGUUACAAUGGCAGGUACAGCGGGAAGCCACCUGGUGACAGGGAGCGGAACCCGAAAGCCUGUCUCAGUUCGGAUUGGAGUCUGCAACUCGACUCCAUGAAGCUGGAUUCGCUAGUAAUCGCGCAUCAGCCAUGGCGCGGUGAAUACGUUCCCGGGCCUUGCACACACCGCCCGUCAAG
RNAcentral lists this ribosomal RNA (1397 nucleotides) under uncultured bacterium. Its description in RNAcentral is "bacterial SSU rRNA". It matches the Rfam family "Bacterial small subunit ribosomal RNA". The record is from RNAcentral.